This 253-nucleotide ribosomal RNA is filed under the name uncultured bacterium. Its description in RNAcentral is "partial 16S ribosomal RNA". It matches the Rfam family "Bacterial small subunit ribosomal RNA", at positions 524 to 776 of the family's 1533-position model. The record is from RNAcentral.
UACAUAGGUCUCAAGCGUUGUUCGGAUUCAUUGGGCGUAAAGGGCGUGUAGGUGGCGCCGUAAGUCAGGUGUGAAAUUUCGGAGCUCAACUCCGAAACUGCAUUUGAUACUGCGGUGCUUGAGGACUGGAGAGGAGACUGGAAUUUACGGUGUAGCAGUGAAAUGCGUAGAUAUCGUAAGGAAGACCAGUGGCGAAGGCGGCUCACUGGCCCGGUACUGACGCUGAGGUGCGAAAGCGUGGGGAGCAAACAGG